This 1566-nucleotide ribosomal RNA is filed under the name Polyporus minutosquamosus. Its description in RNAcentral is "eukaryotic LSU rRNA". The stretch from base 609 to 1566 matches the Rfam family "Eukaryotic large subunit ribosomal RNA", at positions 1 to 939 of the family's 3401-position model. The record is from RNAcentral. Lineage: Eukaryota; Fungi; Basidiomycota; Agaricomycetes; Polyporales; Polyporaceae.
AACGAGUCCUUUGAACGGGGAGGGGUUUUUUGCAGCUGGCCUCAUGGGAGGCAUUGUGCUCGCCCACCCCGCUCGAUCCAACUCUUCUACACCUGUGCACUUACUGUGGGUUUGUUAUGAGUUUUGUGGGGCUUUACUGUCCCUAGCUCAGGAUGAAGCUGCGUUUUUAUAUCUUACAAACAAGUAUCAGAAUGUCUAUGUUGCGAAAAUGCAUCUAUAUACAACUUUCAGCAACGGAUCUCUUGGCUCUCGCAUCGAUGAAGAACGCAGCGAAAUGCGAUAAGUAAUGUGAAUUGCAGAAUUCAGUGAAUCAUCGAAUCUUUGAACGCACCUUGCGCUCCUUGGCAUUCCAAGGAGCACGCCUGUUUGAGUGUCAUGUAAUUCUCAAACCUACAACUUCUUUUGUGUUGUUUGUAGGGUUGGACUUGGAGGCUUGUUGUCGGCUUGUUGUGCAGACUAGUCGGCUCCUCUCAAAUGCAUUAGCUUGGUUUCUAUGUGGAUUGGGCUCCCGGUGUGAUAGUUGUCUACGCCGUGACCAUGAAGCGUUUUUGCUGAACCAGCUUCUUAACAUGCGUGUGGUGUUAUAUAUCACCGUUUCCAUCAUCAUUUGACCUCAAAUCAGGUGGGAUUACCCGCUGAACUUAAGCAUAUCAAUAAGCGGAGGAAAAGAAACUAACAAGGAUUCCCCUAGUAACUGCGAGUGAAGCGGGAAGAGCUCAAAUUUAAAAUCUGGUGGUCUUUGGCCAUCCGAGUUGUAGUCUGGAGAAGUGCUUUCCGCGCUGGACCGUGUAUAAGUCUCUUGGAACAGAGCGUCAUAGAGGGUGAGAAUCCCGUCUUUGACACGGACUACCAGUGCUUUGUGAUGCGCUCUCAAAGAGUCGAGUUGUUUGGGAAUGCAGCUCAAAAUGGGUGGUAAAUUCCAUCUAAAGCUAAAUAUUGGCGAGAGACCGAUAGCGAACAAGUACCGUGAGGGAAAGAUGAAAAGCACUUUGGAAAGAGAGUUAAACAGUACGUGAAAUUGCUGAAAGGGAAACGCUUGAAGUCAGUCGCGUCGCUUGGAACUCAGCCUUGCGUUUGUGCUUGGUGCAUUUUCUAAGUGACGGGCCAGCAUCAAUUUUGACCGUUGGAUAAAGGUCGGAGGAAUGUGGCACCCUUGGGUGUGUUAUAGCCUCUGGUCACAUACAGCGGUUGGGAUUGAGGAACGCAGCGCGCCGCAAAGGCGGGGGUUUUUAUGCCCACUUUCGCGCUUAGGAUGCUGGCGUAAUGGCUUUAAACGACCCGUCUUGAAACACGGACCAAGGAGUCUAACAUGCCUGCGAGUGUUUGGGUGGAAAACCCGAGCGCGCAAUGAAAGUGAAAGUUGAGACCUCUGUCGUGGAGGGCAUUGACGCCCGGACCUGACGUUCUCUGACGGAUCCGCGGUAGAGCAUGUAUGUUGGGACCCGAAAGAUGGUGAACUAUGCCUGAAUAGGGUGAAGCCAGAGGAAACUCUGGUGGAGGCUCGUAGCGAUUCUGACGUGCAAAUCGAUCGUCAAAUUUGGGUAUAGGGGCGAAAGACUAAUCGAA